UAGGGGGAAUAAUGGUUGUUUUUGGUUAUACAAUGGCAAUGGCUACUGAGGAGUAUCCUGAGACCUGAGGGUCAGUGUUUGAGGUUCUGCUGGGUGUG
Long non-coding RNA from Nomascus leucogenys (northern white-cheeked gibbon), 98 nucleotides. RefSeq lists it as uncharacterized. The record is from RefSeq and is a predicted model, not a curated record. The transcript has 3 exons. Lineage: Eukaryota; Metazoa; Chordata; Mammalia; Primates; Hylobatidae.